This 587-nucleotide ribosomal RNA is filed under the name Streptomycetaceae bacterium. RNAcentral's name for it is "bacterial SSU rRNA". It matches the Rfam family "Bacterial small subunit ribosomal RNA", at positions 118 to 719 of the family's 1533-position model. The record is from RNAcentral. Lineage: Bacteria; Bacillati; Actinomycetota; Actinomycetes; Kitasatosporales; Streptomycetaceae.
UGGGCAAUCUGCCCUUCACUCUGGGACAAGCCCUGGAAACGGGGUCUAAUACCGGAUAACACUCUGUCCCGCAUGGGACGGGGUUAAAAGCUCCGGCGGUGAAGGAUGAGCCCGCGGCCUAUCAGCUUGUUGGUGGGGUAAUGGCCUACCAAGGCGACGACGGGUAGCCGGCCUGAGAGGGCGACCGGCCACACUGGGACUGAGACACGGCCCAGACUCCUACGGGAGGCAGCAGUGGGGAAUAUUGCACAAUGGGCGAAAGCCUGAUGCAGCGACGCCGCGUGAGGGAUGACGGCCUUCGGGUUGUAAACCUCUUUCAGCAGGGAAGAAGCGAAAGUGACGGUACCUGCAGAAGAAGCGCCGGCUAACUACGUGCCAGCAGCCGCGGUAAUACGUAGGGCGCAAGCGUUGUCCGGAAUUAUUGGGCGUAAAGAGCUCGUAGGCGGCUUGUCACGUCGGAUGUGAAAGCCCGGGGCUUAACCCCGGGUCUGCAUUCGAUACGGGCUAGCUAGAGUGUGGUAGGGGAGAUCGGAAUUCCUGGUGUAGCGGUGAAAUGCGCAGAUAUCAGGAGGAACACCGGUGGCGAA